RNAcentral lists this unclassified non-coding RNA (345 nucleotides) under soil metagenome. RNAcentral's name for it is "partial contains 5.8S ribosomal RNA, internal transcribed spacer 2, and large subunit ribosomal RNA". The stretch from base 1 to 120 matches the Rfam family "5.8S ribosomal RNA", at positions 35 to 154 of the family's 154-position model. The record is from RNAcentral.
GAUGAAGAACGUAGCGAAAUGCGACAAGUAAUGUGAAUUGCAGAAUUCAGUGAAUCAUCGAAUCUUUGAACGCACAUUGCGCCCCCUGGUAUUCCGGGGGGCAUGCCUGUCCGAGCGUCAUUGCUGCCCUCAAGCACGGCUUGUGUGUUGGGCCUCCGUCCUCCUCCCGGGGGACGGGCCCGAAAGGCAGCGGCGGCACCGCGUCCGGUCCUCGAGCGUAUGGGGCUUCGUCACCCGCUCUUGUAGGCCCGGCCGGCGCUUGCCGACACAUCAAUCUUUUUUCCAGGUUGACCUCGGAUCAGGUAGGGAUACCCGCUGAACUUAAGCAUAUCAAUAAGCGGAGGA